UGGGGAAUUUUUGUCAAUGGGGGCAACCCUGAACAAGCAACGCCGCGUGAAGGACGAAGACCUUCGGGUUGUAAACUUCUGUCGGAGGGGACGAAAGCAGUGGUGGUUAAUACCCACUAUUGUUGACGGUACCCUACGAGGAAGCCCCGGCUAACUCCGUGCCAGCAGCCGCGGUAAUACGGAGGGUGCAAGCGUUAAUCGGAAUUACUGGGCGUAAAGCGCGCGUAGGUGGUUUUGUAAGUCGGAUGUGAAAGCCCUGGGCUCAACCUGGGAAUUGCAUUCGAUACUGCUUAACUAGAGUAUGGUAGAGGGAAGUGGAAUUUCCGGUGUAGCGGUGAAAUGCGUAGAUAUCGGAAGGAACACCAGUGGCGAAGGCGACUUCCUGGGCCAAUACUGACACUGAGGUGCGAAAGCGUGGGUAGCAA
RNAcentral lists this ribosomal RNA (425 nucleotides) under uncultured bacterium. RNAcentral describes it as "bacterial SSU rRNA". It matches the Rfam family "Bacterial small subunit ribosomal RNA", at positions 355 to 771 of the family's 1533-position model. The record is from RNAcentral.